This 506-nucleotide ribosomal RNA is filed under the name uncultured diatom. RNAcentral's name for it is "SSU rRNA". It matches the Rfam family "Eukaryotic small subunit ribosomal RNA", at positions 451 to 961 of the family's 1831-position model. The record is from RNAcentral. Lineage: Eukaryota; Bacillariophyta.
CUGACACAGGGAGGUAGUGACAAUAAAUAACAAUGCCGGGCCUAUACAGGUCUGGCAAUUGGAAUGAGAACAAUUUAAAUCCCUUAUCGAGUAUCAAUUGGAGGGCAAGUCUGGUGCCAGCAGCCGCGGUAAUUCCAGCUCCAAUAGCGUAUAUUAAAGUUGUUGCAGUUAAAAAGCUCGUAGUUGGAUUUCUGGUGGGAGCGAUCUGUCUUCACACUGUGAGGUACUUGAUUGUCUCCAGCCAUCCUUGGGAAAAUGCUUCCUGGCAUUAGGUUGUCGGGUAGUGGAUUCCCAUCUUUUACUGUGAAAAAAUUAGAGUGUUCAAAGCAGGCUUAUGCCGUUGAAUAUACUAGCAUGGAAUAAUAAUAUAGGGCCUUGGUACUAUUUUGUUGGUUUGCGCACCGAGGUAAUGAUUAACAGGGACAGUUGGGGGUAUUCGUAUUCAGUUGUCAGAGGUGAAAUUCUUGGAUUUACGGAAGACGAACUACUGCGAAAGCAUUUACCAA